RNAcentral lists this ribosomal RNA (253 nucleotides) under uncultured bacterium. RNAcentral describes it as "partial 16S ribosomal RNA". It matches the Rfam family "Bacterial small subunit ribosomal RNA", at positions 524 to 776 of the family's 1533-position model. The record is from RNAcentral.
UACGAAGGGGGCUAGCGUUGCUCGGAAUCACUGGGCGUAAAGGGUGCGUAGGCGGGUCUUUAAGUCAGGGGUGAAAUCCUGGAGCUCAACUCCAGAACUGCCUUUGAUACUGAAGAUCUUGAGUUCGGGAGAGGUGAGUGGAACUGCGAGUGUAGAGGUGAAAUUCGUAGAUAUUCGCAAGAACACCAGUGGCGAAGGCGAGUCUCUGGACGACCCCUGACACUGAGGCACGAAAGCUAGGGGAGCAAACAGG